GCAGCACCCGGCCCGUCUCCCCCGAGGCUCCCAGCACGAAGCAGGAACCUCCGCCGCCCGGUGCCGCCAUGCUUAGGGGAGGUGUCGCUCUGCAGGCUGCGCUGCUGCUGCUGCUACUGCUGCUGCUGCUUUCCCCGCCUGCCCCGGCGCUCCGCCCUGCUGCGAUGGCUGCUGCGGAGCCAGGCCCUGAGCAGGCUUGCGAAGUGUCACCGGGAUGAUGAGGGACAGUUCGUCAUGCCAGCGGGGGUGGCAGCUGAACGUCCGCUGCCUCAGCCCGUGCUGCCCCUAUGCUGGGGUCAGCGCAGUGAGAACAGCCCUGCUCUGUGCACCCAGAGGGAGGUCACAGCAGGGGUACUCGGGGCGGUUUAUGACCUGUCGAGCCUCAGAGGCCUCGGGGCAGAGCUGUGUGAGGCAGCCGUGUCCCAGGCGCAGGCAGUGAGUCACCCCCAGGUGCUGCCUCCAGCUCAGUGGUGAUGCCAGCCCCAACCAGCCGUGCCUUUCCGGGCACAGGCAGCUUCCCAGGGCCGUGGGGCGCCCGGUCCCGUUUGUCCUGAUUCCUGGGGAGGGAGGCGUGCAGUCUGACCAGCUGCUUUUGGGAUCAGCCCAGCAAUUUUCCAUCCUGCUGAGCUCUCUCCUUGGUGAGGAGCGAGCCCGGAUCCCUGCAGCACGUGCCACAUGAGGGACGUGACGUGUCUCACCAGCGUCACCCGGAUAAUGGCCAGCAUCCCGCUCAGCCUGCCGGUCACUGCCUACACCCCAUCCAACACGCUGCACCCCACCACCACAGGCUGGCCCGGUGCUGGGCUGCCCGCAUUGCCUGCAGCAUGGAUGCACGGUGCCGGCGCAACGCAGCAUUCGACAGCACGGCCCAGCCUGCUGCCUGCUGCCCCGACUGGAUGGCAGCGCUGCCCGACUCCCUGCCUCUCUCCCGCCUCUCCAUCCCCGGCACGCACGACUCCCUCAGCCUGUUUGGCGGCCGGCGCCUGCGUUGCCAGAGCUGGGGCCUGGAGGCCCAGCUGGCGGCCGGCGUGCGCUUCCUGGACGUGCGCUGCAAGCUGGAGAGGGGCGAGCUGCGCGUCUACCACCUGUGUGCCUUCCAGCGGGUCAGCCUGCGGGGCGUCCUGCGUCGCACCCUGCGCUUCCUCCGCGCCCACCCCGGCGAGGCCGUGCUGAUGCGCAUCAAGGAGGAGCUGCCCAUCUUCCCGCGGCCCCGCUUCGCCGCACGGCUCCAGCGCUGCCUGCUGGAGGAGAGCCGGGGCCGGCUGUGGUGCCGGGAGGAGGUGCCCACGCUGGGCCAGGUGCGGGGCAAGAUCGUGGUGCUGGAGGCGCUGGAGAGGGAGGUGCUGGGCAUCCCCUACGAGCGGCUGAGCAUCAGCGAUGCGUGGAACGUGCUCUCGUUGGAGAGGAAAUGGGCACGAGCGCAGCGGCACCUGGACGCAGCAGCCAGCGGGGACCCCGCCACCAUGCACCUCACCUUCUGCUCCGGCAACGGGCUCUUCACCUGCCCCGAGGACGUGGCCCGAUUCGUCAACCCUCAGUGCUACCAGCACCUGCAGCGCUGCUCGGGGCAGCCGGUGUGCUGGGGAGUGGUCAUUUUGGACUUCCCCGGGGCAGGCCUGCUGCAGCUCAUCAUUGAGAGCAACGCCCCAGGGACACGUGGAGGUGUGCCAGAGGCCCCCAGCACCCCUCAGACAGCCCAGCGGCAGCGGGGACGAACGCUGCAGGCGGCACCGCUGGGGCCAGUGUCCCCCGUGCUGCGGGCAGCCUCACGUGUCAGCCGACAGACAUCGAUGCAGAAGGGUGCCCGGAGAUCCCGCGCGGCACUGAGACACCUCUAUGUGACAUCCGUGUGACAGCGGUGGGGCCGGCAGUCAGAGGUGAGCGGCCCUGAGCUGCCCCUGUGCGAGGCAUCCCUCCAGGAGCCAGGUGGAGCUCUUUUCUUUGCAGAGUCUCGCACCGAAAGACAGGACUUUGAGAGAGGAACCAACCAACCCUGAGACAAGCAGCAGGACCAGAAGGCAGGAAAGGCAUCUCCUCAGCUCUGCACCCAGAAGGCAGUGAGGAGAAGGGCGCUUUCCAGGGAGCUCAGGAGCAGAAAAGUAACCCAGGUGCCAGGGCUGAAAGCAUCAAAGCACUGCUGGCACUGAACACGAGAGGGCAGGAAGCACGAGGCAGGGCGCUCGCCUGAGGCUGGAAGGAGAGGAAAGCUCAGCCCUGAGCUGCCAAAAGGUGAAGAAUGAACACGCUCAAGGAUGCUUCUGCGCGCAGGAAAAUGGAGCUGGCCUUACUGCGUGGCCAGGGCUGCCUCCGGAUUUCCUGGCAGGAGGAUGGGACAUUGUUUGCUCCGUGGCGAUGGGACCGACCCGAGGCAGGGCUCUCACGGCUGAGUGCGUUCAUCCGCUUGUCUGCAUGGCUCUUUGCAGAGCCGCAUGGCUGCAGAGCCAGAUCUGCUGGGGAGAGAGCUGGACGGGCUGCACAGAGCCAGAGCGAGGGGAAGGAAAGAGGCAGAGGGGGGCAAAAACGUGCCAUGGGGAUGGGCAGCAGAAUCCGCCUCUGGGCUUGGCUUGCCCUCUUGAAAUAGGAAGACUGCAUUAAAGCAUUUAACCAGA
Molecule: RNA transcript, 2609 nt
Organism: Gallus gallus (chicken)
Lineage: Eukaryota; Metazoa; Chordata; Aves; Galliformes; Phasianidae
Gene name: 1-phosphatidylinositol phosphodiesterase-like
Exons: 2
Source: RefSeq, a predicted model, not a curated record